This 773-nucleotide ribosomal RNA is filed under the name uncultured bacterium. Its description in RNAcentral is "bacterial SSU rRNA". It matches the Rfam family "Bacterial small subunit ribosomal RNA", at positions 8 to 798 of the family's 1533-position model. The record is from RNAcentral.
AGAGUUUGAUCAUGGCUCAGGACGAACGCUGGCGGCGUGCUUAACACAUGCAAGUCGAACGGAAAGGCCCUUCGGGGUACUCGAGUGGCGAACGGGUGAGUAACACGUGGGUGAUCUGCCCUGCACUCUGGGAUAAGCCUGGGAAACUGGGUCUAAUACCGGAUAGGACCGCAUGCUUCAUGGUGUGUGGUGCAAAGCUUUUGCGGUGUGGGAUGAGCCCGCGGCCUAUCAGCUUGUUGGUGGGGUAAUGGCCUACCAAGGCGACGACGGGUAGCCGGCCUGAGACGGUGACCGGCCACACUGGGACUGAGAUACGGCCCAGACUCCUACGGGAGGCAGCAGUGGGGAAUAUUGCACAAUGGGCGCAAGCCUGAUGCAGCGACGCCGCGUGAGGGAUGACGGCCUUCGGGUUGUAAACCUCUUUCAGUAGGGACGAAGCGAAAGUGACGGUACCUACAGAAGAAGGACCGGCCAACUACGUGCCAGCAGCCGCGGUAAUACGUAGGGUCCGAGCGUUGUCCGGAAUUACUGGGCGUAAAGAGCUCGUAGGUGGUUUGUCGCGUUGUUCGUGAAAACUCACAGCUUAACUGUGGGCGUGCGGGCGAUACGGGCAGACUAGAGUACUGCAGGGGAGACUGGAAUUCCUGGUGUAGCGGUGGAAUGCGCAGAUAUCAGGAGGAACACCGGUGGCGAAGGCGGGUCUCUGGGCAGUAACUGACGCUGAGGAGCGAAAGCGUGGGUAGCGAACAGGAUUAGAUACCCCGGUAGUCCAA